Molecule: ribosomal RNA, 229 nt
Filed under: uncultured bacterium
Lineage: Bacteria
Description: partial 16S ribosomal RNA
Rfam family: Bacterial small subunit ribosomal RNA
Source: RNAcentral
UGCGCAGGUGGGAAUGUAAGUCAGUGGUGAAAUACUGCCGCUUAACGGUAGAAUUGCCAUUGAUACUGCAUUUCUUGAGUAUGGUUGAGGUAGGCGGAAUGUGUCGUGUAGCGGUGAAAUGCAUAGAUAUGACACAGAACGCCGAUUGCGAAGGCAGCUUACUAGGCCAUUACUGACACUGAGGCACGAAAGCGUGGGGAGCGAACAGGAUUAGAUACCCUGGUAGUCC